CUAACAUAAUAAUUUAAUGAAUAAGGAAAAAAAAAAUUUUUUUUGAAUUGGUUAAGAAGAAACAGAUAUAAAUCCUUGCAUUUGGGCAGUGAAAAAUAGUUUGAUAAAGUAUCAUUUUAUUCUCAAACAGCCAGUUACUAUUGAUAGCACUAGCACUAUAACAAUGGCCAAAAUUUACUGAGAUAUGAUAAACUAGAUAAGCAUAUGGAGGUCUGUUGAGUUAUUUUUUUUAGAGGGAAAUUACUGU
RNAcentral lists this unclassified non-coding RNA (247 nucleotides) under Hevea brasiliensis (rubber tree). Lineage: Eukaryota; Viridiplantae; Streptophyta; Magnoliopsida; Malpighiales; Euphorbiaceae. The record is from RNAcentral.